GCGGGCGUAGUUUAAUGGUAGAACAAAGGUCUCCAAAACCUUUGGCGUAGGUUCGAUUCCUACCGCCCGUGCCA
RNAcentral lists this transfer RNA (74 nucleotides) under Candidatus Magasanikbacteria bacterium RIFCSPHIGHO2_01_FULL_50_8. RNAcentral describes it as "tRNA-Trp". It matches the Rfam family "tRNA". Rfam says of the family: Transfer RNA (tRNA) molecules are approximately 80 nucleotides in length. Their secondary structure includes four short double-helical elements and three loops (D, anti-codon, and T loops). Lineage: Bacteria; Candidatus Magasanikiibacteriota. The record is from RNAcentral. RNAcentral also lists the same sequence under 1 other name.